Molecule: ribosomal RNA, 1062 nt
Filed under: Triticum aestivum (bread wheat)
Lineage: Eukaryota; Viridiplantae; Streptophyta; Magnoliopsida; Poales; Poaceae
Description: partial small subunit ribosomal RNA
Source: RNAcentral
AUGGAGGAUGAAGCGACGACCAAGCGGAGGAGGACGGAGGGCCACAGUGGCCUCAGCGACGAACCCGGGCUAUCCUCCUUCCACAUGGAGGAUCUCCCCGAGGAUAUUCGACCUAUUAUAUUGUCUCUGCUUUCAUUGAAAGAGGUUGCAAGGACCAGCAUUGUGUCCAGAAAUUGGACCAAACUCUGGACGCACCAUCCUAAUCUCUGUUUUGAUGGCACCAAAGACCGGUCCACUGAUGAGGACAGUGUCAAAAUAGAAAGAGCAAAGUUCAUUGAGACGGUCAAUUCUAUUAUACAACAGCACAGUGGAACAGGGUUCAACAAGUUCAGCAUCAGGUGUGGCCUCCAGCCGAAGUCCUCCGAUCAUCUUAAUAGGUGGAUUUACUUUUGCACUGCAGCAAAGGCAAAGAUCAUAGAUAUUAACCUCUGGUCAAGAAGAAUAACAAAACGAGUUUAUCACUUCCCUCUUGACGCUUUAUGUGCUCAAGGUGGCCCUUUAAUCGAGUCGUUAUUUCUGAAAGAUGUUUCUAUAAAGCCACACUCAGAUAUAUGUGGCUUUACAAAACUCACAAGGCUUCUUCUGCACUCUGUUAAAAUAACUGGAGAUUUUCCAGGCUUGCUAUUAAGUUGUUCUAGUCUUGAGGACUUGGAGCGCAUUGCUUGCUCGGGUGUGACUGAUCUCAAUAUACCACACCAACUCAAUAAACUUAGACAUUUGCUAAUUUCCCGUAUGCCUGUCCAGAUGAUUGAUUUUCAUGUUACUGCCCUUACCCAUUUUGAGUACAAAGGGGAUGUGAUUCCUAUAGAACUUCAUGGUUGCUCAAAAUUAGAAAAGGCUACAGUAAUGUUUGAAACAGAUAAUAAAGAACUUGGGCAUGCAUUCACUGCGAUUCCCAGGAUUUCGGCAGUCAAGGUGCUAAUAAUGCAUGCUUAUAUGAAGGCAGAUAUUCCCGUUUGGAUCUCACAGGUACACAUGGUGACAACAAGACCGGCAUGCAUGUAUACGAAUUUGAGGCAUCUGACUUGUGAAAUAAAAAAUCGACACCAAGGUUCCAAAUAG